UACGUAGGGUGCGAGCGUUAAUCGGAAUUACUGGGCGUAAAGCGUGCGCAGGCGGCGCGUUAAGACAGGUGUGAAAGCCCCGAGCUUAACUUGGGAAUUGCGCUUGUGACUGGCGUGCUGGAGUGUGGCAGAGGGAGGUGGAAUUCCACGUGUAGCAGUGAAAUGCGUAGAUAUCAGGAGGAACACCUGCGGUGUAGACGGCUUACUGGACCAUAACUGACGCUGAGGCACGAAAGCGUGGGUAGCAAACAGG
Molecule: ribosomal RNA, 253 nt
Filed under: uncultured bacterium
Lineage: Bacteria
Description: partial 16S ribosomal RNA
Rfam family: Bacterial small subunit ribosomal RNA
Source: RNAcentral